This 554-nucleotide ribosomal RNA is filed under the name uncultured Microbacteriaceae bacterium. RNAcentral describes it as "bacterial SSU rRNA". It matches the Rfam family "Bacterial small subunit ribosomal RNA", at positions 11 to 572 of the family's 1533-position model. Lineage: Bacteria; Bacillati; Actinomycetota; Actinomycetes; Micrococcales; Microbacteriaceae. The record is from RNAcentral.
GCUUUGAUCCUGGCUCAGGACGAACGCUGGCGGCGUGCUUAACACAUGCAAGUCGAACGAUGAACACCGGAGCUUGCUCUGGUGGGAUUAGUGGCGAACGGGUGAGUAACACGUGAGCAAUCUGCCCUUGACUCUGGGAUAAGCGUUGGAAACGACGUCUAAUACCGGAUACGACCUCUCUUGGCAUCAAGCGGAGGUGGAAAGAUUUAUCGGUCAAGGAUGAGCUCGCGGCCUAUCAGCUAGUUGGUGUGGUAACGGCUCACCAAGGCGACGACGGGUAGCCGGCCUGAGAGGGUGACCGGCCACACUGGGACUGAGACACGGCCCAGACUCCUACGGGAGGCAGCAGUGGGGAAUAUUGCACAAUGGGCGCAAGCCUGAUGCAGCAACGCCGCGUGAGGGACGAACGCCUUCGGGUUGUAAACCUCUUUUAGCAGGGAAGAAGCGCAAGUGACGGUACCUGCAGAAAAAGCACCGGCUAACUACGUGCCAGCAGCCGCGGUAAUACGUACGGUGCAAGCGUCGUACGGAAUUAUGGGGCGUAUAGAGCUCGA